This 884-nucleotide ribosomal RNA is filed under the name Microbacterium arborescens. RNAcentral's name for it is "bacterial SSU rRNA". It matches the Rfam family "Bacterial small subunit ribosomal RNA", at positions 39 to 934 of the family's 1533-position model. The record is from RNAcentral. Lineage: Bacteria; Bacillati; Actinomycetota; Actinomycetes; Micrococcales; Microbacteriaceae.
GCGGCGUGCUUAACACAUGCAAGUCGAACGGUGAAGCAGAGCUUGCUCUGUGGAUCAGUGGCGAACGGGUGAGUAACACGUGAGCAAUCUGCCCCUGACUCUGGGAUAAGCGCUGGAAACGGCGUCUAAUACCGGAUACGAGCUGCGACCGCAUGGUCAGUAGCUGGAAAGAAUUUCGGUCAGGGAUGAGCUCGCGGCCUAUCAGCUUGUUGGUGAGGUAAUGGCUCACCAAGGCGUCGACGGGUAGCCGGCCUGAGAGGGUGACCGGCCACACUGGGACUGAGACACGGCCCAGACUCCUACGGGAGGCAGCAGUGGGGAAUAUUGCACAAUGGGCGCAAGCCUGAUGCAGCAACGCCGCGUGAGGGAUGACGGCCUUCGGGUUGUAAACCUCUUUUAGCAGGGAAGAAGCGAAAGUGACGGUACCUGCAGAAAAAGCGCCGGCUAACUACGUGCCAGCAGCCGCGGUAAUACGUAGGGCGCAAGCGUUAUCCGGAAUUAUUGGGCGUAAAGAGCUCGUAGGCGGUCUGUCGCGUCUGCUGUGAAAACCCGAGGCUCAACCUCGGGCCUGCAGUGGGUACGGGCAGACUAGAGUGCGGUAGGGGAGAUUGGAAUUCCUGGUGUAGCGGUGGAAUGCGCAGAUAUCAGGAGGAACACCGAUGGCGAAGGCAGAUCUCUGGGCCGUAACUGACGCUGAGGAGCGAAAGGGUGGGGAGCAAACAGGCUUAGAUACCCUGGUAGUCCACCCCGUAAACGUUGGGAACUAGUUGUGGGGUCCAUUCCACGGAUUCCGUGACGCAGCUAACGCAUUAAGUUCCCCGCCUGGGGAGUACGGCCGCAAGGCUAAAACUCAAAGGAAUUGACGGGGACCCGCACAAGCGGCG